Oncorhynchus mykiss (rainbow trout) is the source of this 402-nucleotide non-coding RNA. The record is from RefSeq and is a predicted model, not a curated record. Lineage: Eukaryota; Metazoa; Chordata; Actinopteri; Salmoniformes; Salmonidae.
AGUCAGACUGCUCUCUGCUGGACUGGAGGAUCCACACUGCAGACUGGAGAAACUCAAUGUGGAACAUGGUGGAGAGAACACAAUGAAACCUGGGCUUAGAAAAUAUGUCCGUGAUCUUACACUGGACCUAAACACAGUAAACAGACUCCUCUCUCUGUCUGAGGAGAACAGAAAGGUGACAUGUAGGAGAGAGAAACAGCCGUAUCCUGAUCACCCAGAGAGAUUUGAGGACUGUGAGCAGGUGCUGUGUAGAGAGGGUCUGACUGGGCGCUGUUACUGGGAGGUAGAGUGGAGUGGGAGAGGGGCUGAUAUAGGAUUGACAUAUAAAGGAAUCAGCAGGAGAGGAAGGGGUGAUGACUGUUGUCUUGGAUACAAUAACAAAUCCUGGAGUCUGUUCUGCUA